GGCGAACGCUGGCGGCGUGCCUAAUACAUGCAAGUCGAGCGGACUUAAAAAGCUUGCUUUUUAAGUUAGCGGCGGACGGGUGAGUAACACGUGGGCAACCUGCCUGUAAGACUGGGAUAACUUCGGGAAACCGGAGCUAAUACCGGAUAAUCCUUUCCUACUCAUGUAGGAAAGCUGAAAGACGGUUUACGCUGUCACUUACAGAUGGGCCCGCGGCGCAUUAGCUAGUUGGUGAGGUAACGGCUCACCAAGGCGACGAUGCGUAGCCGACCUGAGAGGGUGAUCGGCCACACUGGGACUGAGACACGGCCCAGACUCCUACGGGAGGCAGCAGUAGGGAAUCUUCCGCAAUGGACGAAAGUCUGACGGAGCAACGCCGCGUGAGUGAUGAAGAUUUUCGGAUCGUAAAACUCUGUUGUUAGGGAAGAACAAGUACGAGAGUAACUGCUCGUACCUUGACGGUACCUAACCAGAAAGCCACGGCUAACUACGUGCCAGCCGCCGCCGUAA
RNAcentral lists this ribosomal RNA (510 nucleotides) under uncultured bacterium. RNAcentral's name for it is "partial 16S ribosomal RNA". It matches the Rfam family "Bacterial small subunit ribosomal RNA", at positions 28 to 523 of the family's 1533-position model. The record is from RNAcentral.